AAGCACCUUCACAUUGGUCCAUUCAAAUCCACAGGCUUUCAGGCAUUAACCCAUCCCCAUAAGAGGCUUCAUGAAAUGGCUCAUCAAAUGCCUGGCAACAGAGGAAGCCAUCUGGUGAAGGGUGGAUUGUGAUUAUAACCCAUCCAGAUUUGCCUUCUCAUCAGCAACAACACUGUUGUCUCAUUCGCCCCUGUAAUUGGUCGUGAAAGCCUAGGGACAAAAGAUUGAACAUAAACCAAUCUGACCACCAGGUUUUUUUUGUGUACCUUUUUUUUUUCUUUUUUAAGUUGGGAGCAUCCAAUCACACUCAUCUCUGAGGUUAGAACAAUUUACCUUGUGGAAAUCCCCUUCGUCAUUGAAGAUGAAUCUUGCUCAGCUAACUACUUCCCAGCUGCUGGGCAGCAGGAAUAUUCAGGGCCACCAUUAAGCCUACCCCUCAGCAAAAUCUCCCCAUGGCUGAAGGCCAGGCAGUUCAACAGGAAUCCUACGGAGCAACCACUGCAAAGCUCACUGAGUGGACUUCCAGGCAUUUUCACACCCACAGGAAAAAUUGCAAGAACCCAUAAAGCCAUGCUGAGGAGUAUAGGACGUCAGGCACAGGCAUAAGGCAGCCAAGAAGGAUGAGCCGGUGAUCUCUGCAGUCUGCCCAUAACUCCACACAAAACUUUAC
Molecule: long non-coding RNA, 670 nt
Filed under: Homo sapiens (human)
Lineage: Eukaryota; Metazoa; Chordata; Mammalia; Primates; Hominidae
Description: HSALNT0034365
Source: RNAcentral